RNAcentral lists this ribosomal RNA (376 nucleotides) under uncultured organism. RNAcentral describes it as "partial 16S ribosomal RNA". It matches the Rfam family "Bacterial small subunit ribosomal RNA", at positions 527 to 896 of the family's 1533-position model. The record is from RNAcentral.
GUAGGUGGCAAGCGUUGUCCGGAAUUAUUGGGCGUAAAGCGCGCGCAGGCGGUUCUUUAAGUCUGAUGUGAAAGCCCACGGCUCAACCGUGGAGGGUCAUUGGAAACUGGAGAACUUGAGUACAGAAGAGGAAAGCGGAAUUCCACGUGUAGCGGUGAAAUGCGUAGAGAUGUGGAGGAACACCAGUGGCGAAGGCGGCUUUCUGGUCUGUAACUGACGCUGAGGCGCGAAAGCGUGGGGAGCAAACAGGGAUUAGAUACCCUGGUAGUCCACGCCGUAAACGAUGAGUGCUAAGUGUUAGGGGGGUUUCCGGCCCCCCUUAGUGCUGCAGCUAACGCAUUAAGCACUCCGCCUGGGGAGUACGGCCGCAAGGCUG